GAUUGGCUCUCAGUCGGAGGGAGAAGUUCCGUUCCUCCGGCAUGCGUUCAGGUGUGUGCCGGACAGCAGUUAGCGGACGGGGAACAGGUGGGCUGUGAGCAGAUAUAGGCCUACUCAGCGUCUAUGAUGAAUAGUCUAAAGCAGUGGUAGUUUUCCUCAAAAAGGAAAACUUAGUUGUUAGGAUUAUCGAGUGGCAUCUGGGUGAAAGUACUUUUUGUGCCAAUAACCCGAAGCGCCGGCAAAGUAGUUGUUUCUAACGUGCCACCCUUUAUAAAGAACGAAGUAAUUGAAAGGGAAUUGGCAAGGUUCGGGAGAUUCGGCAGCUCAUUAAAAUCGUUCCGUAAAUGUGGCUGUAAAUGUGGUGCGGUGAAGUCUGUGUUAUCUUUUAGAAAGCAGGUUUUUUUUAAUAUAACGGUGAACAGACGUUUUAUGUGGUGUUUGCAUAAACUGGCAGUUUGCGCUGCAUCGCGUGUGCGGACAUUGGCCACAAAAAGUGGGGUGCCCGGACAAAACCCAGUCACCGGAAGAGGAUAAUGGCGGAGAUAGGCAAGAAGCGAUAGCCUAUUGCUGCUGAGAAGGGAAAUCAGGAAGGCGGUUAAUAGCGAUGGCGAACAGGCGGCGGGGAAUGUGUCAGCACAGAUGAUUAAGGAGCCUGGGGAAGAGGACGCUCCAGGAACGGAGUAGCGUCGUCUGGCCAUGAAACACAGAAGGAUCUCCACCUGGCCCCGUUCUCUACUAGUGUCACGAUUGUGUAUCAUAAACUGCCCCCAGCAGUGUGGACCCCUCCCCUGCCCACCUGUUCUCCAGCUCAGAGACAUCUGUCUGCAGCUUGAGGUAGAACUUCUCGGCCUGGGAGAAGAGCUGACGCAGCAGCAGCACGUUGGUGUGGGCCGUGUUAAUGAGCUCCGUCUCCACCUCCCCCCGAACCACCACCUGUAGGCCCUCCAGCAUCUCUGUCACUUCAUCCACCGUGAAUGUCUCCUCCACCAGUCUGCAGCGAAGGACAACACCGUGCUCAGCACAGCGCUAGGGAAAGGGCUAAUGGCUGCGACAGCAAUGGGAGUCCUAAGCCAAGACUCACCAACAUAAGGCAAACCAUAGAAGGCCUACUCCAGGAAUUACAUUGAUUUUAUUAUAUAUGUGCCUGUAUUUUAUGAUACACUAAGUCAGCUCACAAACCAUAGUGAUGCAUAAACGUAAUAGCAGUAUUAUUCUAGAGUAAUGUAAAAAAAAAAAAUGCGUGGUAACAUGAGUAAUAAUGUAACUCUAAAACUACACCACAAAUACAACCUCUCACAAAUUGCCAGUGAAAAAGCACACCUGCUGUCCUUGAGGUCCUGGAAACAGGAGUCGAUGGUCUUGAGUCUCAGAACUCUCUUGGAGCGAGCAAAGCGCAUGUAGUUGAUCACCUCGUUCUGGUGGUGCUCGUUGAAGCCAAACUCAGCCUGAGGCGACCAACGAUAUAGGACAAGGCAAUUUCUUUACUUGAGCCUGGAUAGUACGUGUGAUUAUGAGGCAGUGGUCGUUAUUUAAAGUGUGCACAAAUGUGUCAGCAGAGGGCGGUGUUUUUAAUCAUUUCAGUUAUACACGUGAGAUACCUUAUUAUCUCAGAGCAAUCCAUCUGUUACAUUGUUUACCGCGUCCAACACUGGGAAAAAAUGUGGGCUACGUGCAAAAAUAAAUUGUGCUGACUAUUAACGUUUUACAUUUGUCAA
Anguilla rostrata (American eel) is the source of this 1715-nucleotide long non-coding RNA. RefSeq lists it as uncharacterized. NCBI's taxonomy places the organism in Eukaryota, Metazoa, Chordata, Actinopteri, Anguilliformes, Anguillidae. The transcript is spliced from 2 exons. The record is from RefSeq and is a predicted model, not a curated record.